CGGCGGUGCCUGUUCCGACAGCCCGCCAGAGGACCCCAAACCCUGAUUACAUUUAAGAAGUCUUCUGAGUAAACCGAUUAAAUAAAUCAAAACUUUCAACAACGGAUCUCUUGGUUCUGGCAUCGAUGAAGAACGCAGCGAAAUGCGAUAAGUAAUGUGAAUUGCAGAAUUCAGUGAAUCAUCGAAUCUUUGAACGCACAUUGCGCCCGCUAGUAUUCUGGCGGGCAUGCCUGUCCGAGCGUCAUUUCAACCCUCAAGCCCCCGGGCUUGGUGUUGGGGAUCGGCGAGCCUCCGCGCCCGCCGUCCCCUAAAUCUAGUGGCGGUCUCGCUGUAGCUUCCUCUGCGUAGUAGCACACCUCGCACUGGGAAACAGCGCGGCCACGCCGUUAAACCCCCAACUUCUGAACGUUUGACCUCGGAUCAGGUAGGAAUACCCGCUGAACUUAAGCAUAUCAAUAAGCGGAGGAACG
Molecule: ribosomal RNA, 470 nt
Filed under: Ilyonectria sp.
Lineage: Eukaryota; Fungi; Ascomycota; Sordariomycetes; Hypocreales; Nectriaceae
Description: eukaryotic LSU rRNA
Rfam family: 5.8S ribosomal RNA (bases 91-244)
Source: RNAcentral